GACGUGUCUAAAGGAAAACACUUACUAGAAAUCGGUCAUUUAACCGUUUGCUUAAAUCGAUGAAUUCGGAUUAAUUUAUGAAAUGUUUAGACGUUUAGUCUCGGGAGAUGUAUUUAUUCUACAGCGGAGACUUUCUCAGUCGUUGAAAUGUCUGAGAUUACUGUCGUGCAACUCCGUUAUCGGUUCCGACCGUGGACAGGACCUGUCGAGAGAGGAGCGAACUGUUCCGACCGAACGGGUAAAGUUGGAUCAUACGAAUACACGUAUAGGACCAGCAGACGAUACGUUUCUGGUUCCUUCCCGACCCGAGAAACAGAAGCGGGUGUGUAAAGUCAUAUUGGACCGUUUUGACCAACAGUACGGCCAGGAACUUGGCCCCCUAUGGCCGUCUGCAAGGGCUGUGCUGUUGAACCCUGGGUGUUGGCAGUAUGGUG
Molecule: long non-coding RNA, 434 nt
Filed under: Salmo salar (Atlantic salmon)
Lineage: Eukaryota; Metazoa; Chordata; Actinopteri; Salmoniformes; Salmonidae
Description: lncRNA (ENSSSAG00000119997.1)
Source: RNAcentral